RNAcentral lists this ribosomal RNA (481 nucleotides) under Haematococcus lacustris. RNAcentral describes it as "SSU rRNA". It matches the Rfam family "Eukaryotic small subunit ribosomal RNA", at positions 572 to 1060 of the family's 1831-position model. Lineage: Eukaryota; Viridiplantae; Chlorophyta; Chlorophyceae; Chlamydomonadales; Haematococcaceae. The record is from RNAcentral.
CGCCGCGGUAAUACCAGCUCCAAUAGCGUAUAUUUAAGUUGUUGCAGUUAAAAAGCUCGUAGUUGGAUUUCGGGUGGGUUCCAGCGGUCUGCCUCUGGUAUGUACUGCUGUGGCCUACCUUUCUGCCGGGGACGUGUUCCUGGGCUUCAUUGUCCGGGACUCGAAUUCGGCGAGGAUACUUUGAGUAAAACAGCGUGUUCAAAGCAAGCCUACGCUCUGAAUGCAUUAGCAUGGAAUAUCACGAUAGGACUCUGGCCUAUCUUGUUGGUCUGUAGGACCGGAGUAAUGAUUAAGAGGGACAGUCGGGGGCAUUCGUAUUUCAUUGUCAGAGGUGAAAUUCUUGGAUUUAUGAAAGACGAACUUCUGCGAAAGCAUUUGCCAAGGAUGUUUUCAUUAAUCAAGAACGAAAGUUGGGGGCUCGAAGACGAUUAGAUACCGUCGUAGUCUCAACCAUAAACGAUGCCGACUAGGGAUUGGCAGG